UUAAGCAGUGUGAUAAAACAUUUUCAGUGAUAUCCACCUUUAUCUCUCACAUAUCAAGAAAACAUAAACACUCAACAGAGGUAAACCUAAGUGAAUCCAUUGUUGCCACAUCACUUGUGACUGAAGCUAUUGACAGUGAUAUGAUGACAGAAGAAUAUACUGCCAUAGUUGGAAAUAGUGAGAAUUUGGAGGUUAGUCCAGAAAAUAUCGAUGAGACUUUAUUUUUAAAGAAUCUUGCUCUCUUUUAUCUGAAAUUACAGUGUAAGUUGUUGCUUCCAUCUUUAGUCAUUCAGACUAUCAUUUAAGACAUGCAGUCAGCAACAAACCCACCUAUGCAGAUGUCAGGGCUGUCAUUUCUCUGUGGCCAGACCUCGAGCUUUCCUUCUGCAUCAUCCAACUUCUCAUGGCUCACUUCUCUGAGACUCAGGAAGGGCUGAUCCUUUUUGCAAAUGCAUCUUCCACUGCAGCUGAUAUAGAAAGGACGCUUGAACUACCUGCAACUCCUCGACUGAUACUCCUUGGAUCAGCGCACCUGCCUCGCUUCCCGACCGGCAACGUAGAGAAGCGUCUCCGGAAUAUUAAUUGUUUCCGGACUACACCUCCCAGCAUCCAUCACGAAGACUGAUUGCUGUGCCACCUGUUUCCUAUCAGCCAGCGUGUAUAAAUACGAACUUGACCUCAGUGCCAAGUCUUGACUUGCAUUAGCAGUCAUUCUGAGCGUUUCCAGUCUGUCUUGGUUCCGGUUUUGACUUUUUUGAGUUUCUGUGUUUGAUUCUCUGGUUGUUUGCUGCCUGCCCUGACCUCCUGCCUGUUCUUUCGUUUCUGAUUGUGCCUGUCCUACGAUAUCGUGUUUGCCGUGUUUGACCCUGGCUGUCUGUUUUCGAGUUUUGAAUAAA
Molecule: long non-coding RNA, 896 nt
Organism: Tachysurus fulvidraco (yellow catfish)
Lineage: Eukaryota; Metazoa; Chordata; Actinopteri; Siluriformes; Bagridae
Exons: 3
Source: RefSeq, a predicted model, not a curated record